This 764-nucleotide ribosomal RNA is filed under the name uncultured Streptococcus sp. RNAcentral's name for it is "bacterial SSU rRNA". It matches the Rfam family "Bacterial small subunit ribosomal RNA", at positions 28 to 776 of the family's 1533-position model. The record is from RNAcentral. Lineage: Bacteria; Bacillati; Bacillota; Bacilli; Lactobacillales; Streptococcaceae.
GACGAACGCUGGCGGCGUGCCUAAUACAUGCAAGUAGAACGCUGAAGGAGGAGCUUGCUCUUUCCGGAUGAGUUGCGAACGGGUGAGUAACGCGUAGGUAACCUGCCUGGUAGCGGGGGAUAACUAUUGGAAACGAUAGCUAAUACCGCAUAAGAGUAGAUAUCGCAUGAUAGCUGCUUGAAAGGUGCAAUUGCACCACUACCAGAUGGACCUGCGUUGUAUUAGCUAGUUGGUGAGGUAACGGCUCACCAAGGCAACGAUACAUAGCCGACCUGAGAGGGUGAUCGGCCACACUGGGACUGAGACACGGCCCAGACUCCUACGGGAGGCAGCAGUAGGGAAUCUUCGGCAAUGGACGGAAGUCUGACCGAGCAACGCCGCGUGAGUGAAGAAGGUUUUCGGAUCGUAAAGCUCUGUUGUAAGAGAAGAACGAGUGUGAGAGUGGAAAGUUCACACUGUGACGGUAUCUUACCAGAAAGGGACGGCUAACUACGUGCCAGCAGCCGCGGUAAUACGUAGGUCCCGAGCGUUGUCCGGAUUUAUUGGGCGUAAAGCGAGCGCAGGCGGUUAGAUAAGUCUGAAGUUAAAGGCUGUGGCUUAACCAUAGUACGCUUUGGAAACUGUUUAACUUGAGUGCAAGAGGGGAGAGUGGAAUUCCAUGUGUAGCGGUGAAAUGCGUAGAUAUAUGGAGGAACACCGGUGGCGAAAGCGGCUCUCUGGCUUGUAACUGACGCUGAGGCUCGAAAGCGUGGGGAGCAAACAGG